AUUAGAUGCUUCCAUGUCACCUAGUUACCUAGAGUAGUUGGCCUACGUGAAAGGAAGAGAAGUCAUCCCUCAAAAAGUAAUUCGCUGAACACUUAUGAACCCACCACCCAGCUUGACGACUAAAAUAUUACCAAAUAUCGGUGAAAAUCCAGUGUGCGGCUAUUGCCUAAUGCUACCCUCCUACGUUCCCCCAAAGCAACAGGAUCCGAAGGAAACUUCUGACAGCUUUGGGGACAACAAGAAACACAGAUGUGCUACCUGCAAACCCUUGAGUUCUCCAUCUUGCUCGCUGUCUCUGAGGGCUGUGGUGAAUUAACUAUCCAUCCACAAACAACAUCACCUUUGUGGGAGCUGUGAGAUCCAACACCAUUUGCCAAGGGACCUGGAAGGGGUCUUGCCCACCUGUGCAUCCAAUAAUAGGCAGACACACCUCUUCUACACCUCCGGACAGCAGAUCCAGGAGAACCCAUGAACCUGCCCCAAGCCCUCU
RNAcentral lists this long non-coding RNA (490 nucleotides) under Equus caballus (horse). RNAcentral's name for it is "lncRNA (ENSECAG00000052477.1)". Lineage: Eukaryota; Metazoa; Chordata; Mammalia; Perissodactyla; Equidae. The record is from RNAcentral.